GUGCCAGCAGCCGCGGUAAUUCCAGUUCCAAGUAGCGUAUAUUAAAGUUGUUGUGGUUAAAAAGCUCGUAGUUGAACCUUGGGCCUGGCUGGCCGGUCCGCCUCACCGCGUGCACUGGUCCGGCCGGGCCUUUCCCUCUGUGGAACCCCAUACCCUUCACUGGGCGUGGCGGGGAAACAGGACAUUUACUUUGAAAAAAUUAGAGUGCUCCAGGCAGGCCUAUGCUCGAAUACAUUAGCAUGGAAUAAUAAAAUAGGACGCGCGGUUCUAUUUUGUUGGUUUAUAGGACCGCCGUAAUGAUUAAUAGGGACAGUCGGGGGCAUCAGUAUUCAACUGUCAGAGGUGAAAUUCUUGGAUCAGUUGAAGACUAACUACUGCGAAAGCAUUUGCCAAGGAUGUUUUCAUUAAUCAGGAACGAAAGUUAGGGGAUCGAAGACGAUCAGAUACCGUCGUAGUCUUAACCAUAAACUAUGCCGACUAGGGAUCGGACGGUGUUAUUCAUGACCCGUUCGGCACCUUACGAGAAAUCAAAGUGCUUGGGCUCCAGGGGGAGUAUGGUCGCAAGGCUGAAACUUAAAGAAAUUGACGGAAGGGCACCACCAGGGGUGGAGCCUGCGGCUUAAUUUGACUCAACACGGGGAAACUCACCAGGUCCAGACACAAUAAGGAUUGACAGAUUGAGAGCUCUUUCUUGAUUUUGUGGUGGUGGUGCAUGGACCGUUCUUAGUGGUGGGGUGACUUGUCUGCUUAAUUGCGAUAACGACGAGACCUUACCUGCUAAAUAGCCCGCAUUGCUCCGGCAGUGCGCUGGCUUCUUAGAGGGACUUUCGGCUCAAGCCGAAGGAAGGUUGAAG
Molecule: ribosomal RNA, 854 nt
Filed under: uncultured fungus
Lineage: Eukaryota; Fungi
Description: SSU rRNA
Rfam family: Eukaryotic small subunit ribosomal RNA
Source: RNAcentral